This 497-nucleotide ribosomal RNA is filed under the name uncultured bacterium. RNAcentral's name for it is "partial 16S ribosomal RNA". It matches the Rfam family "Bacterial small subunit ribosomal RNA", at positions 28 to 507 of the family's 1533-position model. The record is from RNAcentral.
GAUGAACGCUGGCGGCGUGCCUAAUACAUGCAAGUCGAGCGAACGGACGAGAAGCUUGCUUCUCUGAUGUUAGCGGCGGACGGGUGAGUAACACGUGGAUAACCUACCUAUAAGACUGGGAUAACUUCGGGAAACCGGAGCUAAUACCGGAUAAUAUUUUGAACCGCAUGGUUCAAAAGUGAAAGACGGUCUUGCUGUCACUUAUAGAUGGGUCCGCGCUGCAUUAGCUAGUUGGUAAGGUAACGGCUUACUAAGGCAACGAUGCAUAGCCGACCUGAGAGGGUGAUCGGCCACACUGGAACUGAGACACGGUCCAGACUCCUACGGGAGGCAGCAGUAGGGAAUCUUCCGCAAUGGGCGAAAGCCUGACGGAGCAACGCCGCGUGAGUGAUGAAGGUCUUCGGAUCGUAAAACUCUGUUAUUAGGGAAGAACAUAUGUGUAAGUAACUGUGCACAUCUUGACGGUACCUAAUCAGAAAGCCACGGCUAACUACGUG